AACGCAAAUUGCGCCUUCUUUCGGAAGGCAUGUCUGUUUGAGGGCACCAUUUAACAAAUAAUGUGCGCGUCGUUUACGGACGACGUGCGCACGUUGAUGAGCUUUUCCGAAAAAACCAGGUUUUUUUGGUGGCGCAUAAUGAACAGCGUGGGCUUUUUCUUCGAUUCUCGUGUAGUAAAUCUUCAACGCUUGGGUUGAGAAAAAGUGCGUGCCGCGCAAUGGGUGUGGCGAAUUUACCCCUGCCCCAAUGCCACUCUUUCCCUGCGAAAGAACAAUUUUUAUUUAGGGCCUCAAAUCAGACAAGAGUACCCGCUGAACUUAA
RNAcentral lists this unclassified non-coding RNA (322 nucleotides) under uncultured Paraglomerales. Its description in RNAcentral is "sequence contains ITS2". Lineage: Eukaryota; Fungi; Glomeromycota; Glomeromycetes; Paraglomerales. The record is from RNAcentral.